GAUGAAGAACGUAGCGAAAUGCGAUAAGUAGUGUGAAUUGCAGAAUUCAGUGAAUCAUCGAAUCUUUGAACGCACAUUGCGCCCUUUGGUAUUCCUUAGGGCAUGCCUGUUCGAGCGUCAUUUAAACCUUCAAGCUAAGCUUGGUGUUGGGUGACUGUCCGCUUCACUGCGGACUCGCCUCAAAAUUAUUGGCGGCCGGUACAUUGGCUUCGAGCGCAGCAGAAACGCGAACUCGGGCCCGUCGUAUUGGCUCCCAGAAGCUAUCUUCACAAUUUUGACCUCGGAUCAGGUAGGGAUACCCGUUGAACUUAAGCAUAUCAAUAAGCGGAGGA
This 332-nucleotide unclassified non-coding RNA is filed under the name soil metagenome. Its description in RNAcentral is "partial contains 5.8S ribosomal RNA, internal transcribed spacer 2, and large subunit ribosomal RNA". The stretch from base 1 to 120 matches the Rfam family "5.8S ribosomal RNA", at positions 35 to 154 of the family's 154-position model. The record is from RNAcentral.